RNAcentral lists this unclassified non-coding RNA (370 nucleotides) under Hevea brasiliensis (rubber tree). The record is from RNAcentral. Lineage: Eukaryota; Viridiplantae; Streptophyta; Magnoliopsida; Malpighiales; Euphorbiaceae.
GAAGAUUCCUACCUUCUAUGGGAAGAAUGAUCCCGAUGUCUAUCUAGAGUGGGAGAGAGAGGUUGAAUUGAUCUUUGAGUGCCACAAUUACUCAGAGGAUAAGAAAGUCAAGUUGGCAGCCAUGCAAUUCAAGGACUAUGCCAUAGUAUGGUGGGAUCAAGUCCAAGCUAAAAGGAGGAAUGGGUUGAGACCAAUCUGGACAUGGGAGGAAAUCAAAGAAUUGCUAAGAGACAGAUUUGUGCCUCCUCACUAUAUUAAAGAGUUGCACCAAAGGCUUUAAAGAUUGACUCAAGGCUCUAAGAGUGUGGAGGAUUAUCACAAGGCCAUGGAAAUAGCCAUGAUUAGGGCUAGCAUUGAGGAGAGUCCAAAA